Molecule: ribosomal RNA, 411 nt
Filed under: uncultured bacterium
Lineage: Bacteria
Description: bacterial SSU rRNA
Rfam family: Bacterial small subunit ribosomal RNA
Source: RNAcentral
GAACGCCUGUGGCAACACAGGAGUGGCGCACGGGUGAGUAACGCGUGGGAACCUGCCCUUGAGUGGGGGAUAACCCGGCGAAAGCCGGGCUAAUACCGCAUACGCCCUUGGAUGAAAGUCCUUGGGGAAAGAUUUAUCGCUCGAGGAGGGGCCCGCGUCGGAUUAGCUAGUUGGUGAGGUAACGGCUCACCAAGGCGAUGAUCCGUAGCUGGUCUGAGAGGAUGAUCAGCCACACUGGGACUGAGACACGGCCCAGACUCCUACGGGAGGCAGCAGUGGGGAAUAUUGGACAAUGGGGGCAACCCUGAUCCAGCAAUGCCGCGUGGGUGAUGAAGGCCUUAGGGUUGUAAAGCCCUUUUGCACGCGACGAUGAUGACGGUAGCGUGAGAAGAAGCCCCGGCUAACUUCGUG